GUUUUCUCUCGUGUGAUUGGUCACUGGACUGAACACAGAUCCACAUCAGACGUCCUCCAGGAAACAGGAAGGAGAUUUUCAAUCUAACUGAGAGAAAGACUGAAGUCCAGCAGAUGAGUGAUUGUGUGGAGGAAGACGAGGACAGAGCAGAGUCUCCAGGACCCAGCGGUCUGUCUGUGAAGAGUGACUGGUCUAUGGGACACCCUCCAGUCUUCAGUCAUGAACCUGGAGCCUCAGAGACAAAGCUGGGGUCCCGGAAUGUCAAACCUGAUGCCCUGUCACGACUCUAUGAUCCCGAGCCUAUUGCCAAAUAACCAGAACCCAUCCUUCCACUGACCUGUGUGGUUGGAGCGGUCACUUGGCAGAUAGAAAAGGAGGUUAAGCAGGCAAAUGGUGAGGAUCCGCCACCUAGUGGGUGCCCCGAUAAUCGAUUGAUAGUCCCGGUCAAGCUGCGCCCACAGGUGAUCCACUGGGCCCACACCUCGCUGCU
Molecule: long non-coding RNA, 490 nt
Organism: Solea solea (common sole)
Lineage: Eukaryota; Metazoa; Chordata; Actinopteri; Pleuronectiformes; Soleidae
Exons: 3
Source: RefSeq, a predicted model, not a curated record